This 253-nucleotide ribosomal RNA is filed under the name uncultured bacterium. Its description in RNAcentral is "partial 16S ribosomal RNA". It matches the Rfam family "Bacterial small subunit ribosomal RNA", at positions 524 to 776 of the family's 1533-position model. The record is from RNAcentral.
UACGGAGGGCGCGAGCGUUGUUCGGAAUUACUGGGCGUAAAGCGCGUGUAGGCGGCUUGGUAAGUCGGGUGUGAAAGCCCGGAGCUCAACUCCGGAACUGCAUUCGAAACUGCCUCGCUCGAGUCUCGGAGAGGGUGGUGGAAUUCCCGGUGUAGAGGUGAAAUUCGUAGAUAUCGGGAGGAACACCAGCGGCGAAGGCGGCCACCUGGACGGUGACUGACGCUGAGACGCGAAAGCGUGGGGAGCAAACAGG